This 35-nucleotide ribosomal RNA is filed under the name Rickettsia sp. 330 TUN. The record is from RNAcentral. Lineage: Bacteria; Pseudomonadati; Pseudomonadota; Alphaproteobacteria; Rickettsiales; Rickettsiaceae.
UUGGUGGUUAUAGCAUGAGUGAAACACACGAUCCC